This 728-nucleotide ribosomal RNA is filed under the name Escherichia coli. RNAcentral's name for it is "partial 23S ribosomal RNA". It matches the Rfam family "Bacterial large subunit ribosomal RNA", at positions 139 to 909 of the family's 2925-position model. Lineage: Bacteria; Pseudomonadati; Pseudomonadota; Gammaproteobacteria; Enterobacterales; Enterobacteriaceae. The record is from RNAcentral.
UUCGACACACUAUCAUUAACUGAAUCCAUAGGUUAAUGAGGCGAACCGGGGGAACUGAAACAUCUAAGUACCCCGAGGAAAAGAAAUCAACCGAGAUUCCCCCAGUAGCGGCGAGCGAACGGGGAGGAGCCCAGAGCCUGAAUCAGUGUGUGUGUUAGUGGAAGCGUCUGGAAAGGCGCGCGAUACAGGGUGACAGCCCCGUACACAAAAAUGCACAUAUUGUGAGCUCGAUGAGUAGGGCGGGACACGUGGUAUCCUGUCUGAAUAUGGGGGGACCAUCCUCCAAGGCUAAAUACUCCUGACUGACCGAUAGUGAACCAGUACCGUGAGGGAAAGGCGAAAAGAACCCCGGCGAGGGGAGUGAAAAAGAACCUGAAACCGUGUACGUACAAGCAGUGGGAGCCUCUUAAUGGGGUGACUGCGUACCUUUUGUAUAAUGGGUCAGCGACUUAUAUUCUGUAGCAAGGUUAACCGAAUAGGGGAGCCGAAGGGAAACCGAGUCUUAACUGGGCGUUAAGUUGCAGGGUAUAGACCCGAAACCCGGUGAUCUAGCCAUGGGCAGGUUGAAGGUUGGGUAACACUAACUGGAGGACCGAACCGACUAAUGUUGAAAAAUUAGCGGAUGACUUGUGGCUGGGGGUGAAAGGCCAAUCAAACCGGGAGAUAGCUGGUUCUCCCCGAAAGCUAUUUAGGUAGCGCCUCGUGAAUUCAUCUCCGGGGGUAGAGCA